CGGAGGAUCCAAGCGUUAUCCGGAAUCAUUGGGUUUAAAGGGUCCGUAGGCGGUUUAAUAAGUCAGUGGUGAAAGCCUAUCGCUUAACGAUAGAACGGCCAUUGAUACUGUUAGACUUGAAUUAGUGGGAAGCAACUAGAAUAUGUAGUGUAGCGGUGAAAUGCUUAGAUAUUACAUGGAAUACCAAUUGCGAAGGCAGGUUACUAUCACUAUAUUGACGCUGAUGGACGAAAGCGUGGGGAGCGAACAGGAUUAGAUACCCUGGUAGUCCACGCCGUAAACGAUGGAUACUAGCUGUUCGGAGCAAUCUGAGUGGCUAAGCGAAAGUGAUAAGUAUCCCACCUGGGGAGUACGUUCGCAAGAAUG
This 366-nucleotide ribosomal RNA is filed under the name uncultured organism. Its description in RNAcentral is "bacterial SSU rRNA". It matches the Rfam family "Bacterial small subunit ribosomal RNA", at positions 526 to 896 of the family's 1533-position model. The record is from RNAcentral.